This 27-nucleotide ribosomal RNA is filed under the name Mucor mucedo. RNAcentral describes it as "partial 18S ribosomal RNA". The record is from RNAcentral. Lineage: Eukaryota; Fungi; Mucoromycota; Mucoromycetes; Mucorales; Mucoraceae.
AAAUAAUUUUUUAAUUUUAUUCUUCGC